Molecule: ribosomal RNA, 406 nt
Filed under: uncultured bacterium
Lineage: Bacteria
Description: partial 16S ribosomal RNA
Rfam family: Bacterial small subunit ribosomal RNA
Source: RNAcentral
AUUGAACGCUGGCGGCAGGCCUAACACAUGCAAGUCGAACGAGUGGCGGACGGGUGAGUAAUGUCUGGGAAACUGCCUGAUGGAGGGGGUUAACUACUGGAACCGGUAGCUAAUACCGCAUACCAUCGGAUGUGCCCAGAGGGGAUUAGCUAGUAGUUGGGGUAAAGGCUUACCUAGGCGACGAUCCCUAGCUGGUCGGAGAGGAUGACCAGCCAAACCGGAACUGAGCGACGGUCCAGACUCCUACGGGAGGCAGCAGUGGGGAAUAUUGCACAAUGGGCGCAAGCCUGAUGCAGCCAUGCCGCGUGGAUGAAGAAGGCCUUCGGGUUGUAAAGUACUUUCAGUGGGGAGGCGUUACGCGCAGAAGAAGCACCGGCUAACUCCGUGCCAGCAGCCGCGGUAAUUC